GAAAUAAGAUUUUAAUUGAAUGCUAAGAGAAUGGAAUUUCAGAAAAAAACUUUUUUCAAGUUAAAAAUUGAAAUUUUUUUAAUUUGUGCAGAAACAAUUAUUAAUAUUAAGGACAAGAAGACCCUAUGAAUUUAUAAAUUUUAUUUAAUAUGUAACUACUAUUGAAAAAAUUUUAGCUGGGGCGGCGGAAAAAUAUUUAAAACUUUUUUAAAAUAAAAUGACCCAUUAUUAAUGAUUAUAUGUUAAAUACUCUAGGGAUAACAGCGUUAUAUUUUUUGAUAGAUCAUAUUGACAAAAAAGUUUGCGACCUCGAUGUUGGAUUAGGAUACUUUUUUAAUGCAGAUAUUAAAAAAAGAAGUUUGUUCAACUUUUAAUUUCCUACUUGAUCUGA
Molecule: ribosomal RNA, 391 nt
Filed under: Rhipicephalus sanguineus (brown dog tick)
Lineage: Eukaryota; Metazoa; Arthropoda; Arachnida; Ixodida; Ixodidae
Description: partial large subunit ribosomal RNA
Rfam family: Archaeal large subunit ribosomal RNA (bases 257-391)
Source: RNAcentral